CUAAGUUUGAUGGCGACCGGCGCACGGGUGAGUAACACGUAUCCAACCUGCCGAUGACUCGGGGAUAGCCUUUCGAAAGAAAGAUUAAUACCCGAUGGCAUAGUUCUUCCGCAUGGUGGAACUAUUAAAGAAUUUCGGUCAUCGAUGGGGAUGCGUUCCAUUAGGUUGUUGGCGGGGUAACGGCCCACCAAGCCUUCGAUGGAUAGGGGUUCUGAGAGGAAGGUCCCCCACAUUGGAACUGAGACACGGUCCAAACUCCUACGGGAGGCAGCAGUGAGGAAUAUUGGUCAAUGGACGAGAGUCUGAACCAGCCAAGUAGCGUGAAGGAUGACUGCCCUAUGGGUUGUAAACUUCUUUUAUACGGGAAUAAAGUGAGGCACGUGUGCCUUUUUGUAUGUACCGUAUGAAUAAGGAUCGGCUAACUCCGUGCCAGCAGCCGCGGUAAUACGGAGGAUCCGAGCGUUAUCCGGAUUUAUUGGGUUUAAAGGGAGCGUAGGCGGACGCUUAAGUCAGUUGUGAAAGUUUGCGGCUCAACCGUAAAAUUGCAGUUGAUACUGGGUGUCUUGAGUACAGUAGAGGCAGGCGGAAUUCGUGGUGUAGCGGUGAAAUGCUUAGAUAUCACGAAGAACUCCGAUUGCGAAGGCAGCUUGCUGGACUGUAACUGACGCUGAUGCUCGAAAGUGUGGGUAUCAAACAGGAUUAGAUACCCUGGUAGUCCACACAGUAAACGAUGAAUACUCGCUGUUUGCGAUAUACAGUAAGCGGCUAAGCGAAAGCGUUAAGUAUUCCACCUGGGGAGUACGCCGGCAACGGUGAAACUCAAAGGAAUUGACGGGGGCCCGCACAAGCGGAGGAACAUGUGGUUUAAUUCGAUGAUACGCGAGGAACC
RNAcentral lists this ribosomal RNA (889 nucleotides) under uncultured bacterium. RNAcentral describes it as "bacterial SSU rRNA". It matches the Rfam family "Bacterial small subunit ribosomal RNA", at positions 79 to 970 of the family's 1533-position model. The record is from RNAcentral.